CCCUGUCCCCAGGCUGACUAGUAAAUCAGCCUCUUUGGUCACCUAACAAAUUCCCUGCAUCACACUCCCGGUGUUUGAAAUACCGCAAGUUGUUUUCUGCUUUCCGGGUUUGAGUCUGCCUAAAUGAGGGGAACUGGUGACGCCUGGGCGGGCACUAUGGGCUGCACUGCAGCCUGGGGCGGGGCCACGCGGGGAGCCUCAGCGAUUGGACGAUUAGGUCCGGAUGAGCAGAGGCCCCGCCCUCCAUUCGGUCAGAGUUUCCCCCCACCUCUCUCAGGGCCAGAGUGUGCAAGCACGGUGGAGCUCUUGGAAGGAUCGAUGGACCGCCGUGACUUGAGAAUAAUGUCUCCAUCUACAUUUAAAGAAGUUUUCCAGAAACCUGACAGAUGGAGUGAAUAUCCACUGCCAGAUUACAGUGCGUCUGUCUAAUGGAGGCCACCACCCAACUGGGUUCCAAACAUAUGGACAGCGAAGGUAUUGUUUUAUAUGUAUGUAUUUCUCUCUUUUUUCUUUUUCUUUCUUCUGUUUCUCUGUUUCUCUCUUUCUGUCUUUUUCUCUUUCUUUCUUUCUUUCCUUCUUUCUUUUUAUUUCCUUCCUUCCUUCUUUCUUUCUUUCUUUCCUUUUUGGGGCCACACCUACAGCACAUGGAAGUUCCCAGGCUAGGGGUCAAAUUAGAGCUAUAGCUGCUGGCCUACACCACAGCCACAGGAACACGGAUCUGAGCCGCAUCUGCAACCUACACCACAGCUCAUGGCAACGCCAGAUCUCGACCGACUGAGCAAGGCCAGGGAUCGAACACGCAGCCUCAUGGAUACUAGUUGGAUCGUUUCCACUCUGCCCCAAGGGGAACUCCUAGUAUUUGUUUCUCUAAUUCCUGUUGCUGCUCAGUACGGUUCCUUUGAUUGUUUUAAUAAUAACAUUACAUACUGGGGAAUGUAUGCACUGUUGUUUCUCAAAUGUACUUAUUCCUGUUUUGCCUUUUUACUUUAAUUUUGGGUUCUCAAUUUAAACAUACAGGGAGAAAAAAAUGCCAGCACAAUUGUUGGACAUUUCCCUUCUCGUAGUGUAGCCUAUCAAGCAGGAUGCUAACAUUCUCAUGUCGCCUAUUUCGUUUAUCAAAUCCAAACCUAAAUUGGAAAGCUUCAGAGUCUCUAAGACUGUACCAGUUACUCUCCAGGACAGUGGAGCAUUGCGGCUAAGGAAGUGAUACUCAAGAUGCCUCUUCACUGUAUGAGCCGCAUGAAGCUGUAGAGUAAAAUUGAUAUGCUUAGCUUUUCUUAUUUUAUCUCUCACCAUCUAGUUUCUGAGAAAUAAAAGCAAAGGACUAAUUUAAAAAUAAAUAAGC
This 1345-nucleotide long non-coding RNA is filed under the name Sus scrofa (pig). Its description in RNAcentral is "lncRNA (ENSSSCG00070009565.1)". Lineage: Eukaryota; Metazoa; Chordata; Mammalia; Artiodactyla; Suidae. The record is from RNAcentral.